RNAcentral lists this ribosomal RNA (451 nucleotides) under uncultured bacterium. RNAcentral describes it as "partial 16S ribosomal RNA". It matches the Rfam family "Bacterial small subunit ribosomal RNA", at positions 355 to 815 of the family's 1533-position model. The record is from RNAcentral.
UGGGGAAUAUUGGACAAUGGGCGGAAGCCUGAUCCAGCAACGCCGCGUGAGGGAUGACGGCCUUCGGGUUGUAAACCUCUUUCAGUACCGACGAAGCGAAAGUGACGGUAGGUACAGAAGAAGGACCGGCCAACUACGUGCCAGCAGCCGCGGUAAUACGUAGGGUCCGAGCGUUGUCCGGAAAUUAUUGGGCGUAAAGGGCUCGUAGGCGGUUUGUCGCGUCGGGAGUGAAAACAGCGGGCUUAACUCGUUGCUUGCUUUCGAUACGGGGCAGACUAGAGGUAUGCAGGGGAGAAUGGAAUUCCUGGUGUAGCGGUGAAAUGCGCAGAUAUCAGGAGGAACACCGGUGGCGAAGGCGGUUCUCUGGGCAUUACCUGACGCUGAGGAGCGAAAGUGUGGGGAGCGAACAGGAUUAGAUACCCUGGUAGUCCAUCACCGUAAACGUUGGGCG